RNAcentral lists this ribosomal RNA (440 nucleotides) under uncultured bacterium. RNAcentral's name for it is "partial 16S ribosomal RNA". It matches the Rfam family "Bacterial small subunit ribosomal RNA", at positions 338 to 795 of the family's 1533-position model. The record is from RNAcentral.
UCUACGGGAGGCAGCAGUGGGGAAUAUUGCACAAUGGGGGAAACCCUGAUGCAGCGACGCCGCGUGGGUGAGGAAGUUUUUCGGAAUGUAAAGCUCUAUCAGCAGGGAAGAAAAUGACGGUACCUGACGAAGAAGCCCCGGCUAACUCCGUGCCAGCAGCCGCGGUAAUACGUAGGGGGCAAGCGUUCCCCGGAGUUACUGGGUGUAAAGGGCGCGUAGACGGCUAAGUAAGUCAGAUGUGAAAACCAAGCGCUCAACCAUGGGACUGCUUUUGAAACUGUGUAGCUAGAGUGCAGGAGAGGUAAGCGGAAUUCCUAGUGUAGCGGUGAUAUGCGUAGAUAUCAGGAGGAACACCAGUGGCGAAGGCGGCUUACUGGACUGUAACUGACGUUGAGGCUCGAAAGCGUGGGGAGCAAACAGGAUUAGAUACCCUGGUAGUC